AAUGCCCCAUGGUGAUGUCCUCAGGCAUCUGAGGUCAUCUAAAGAUCCGUCGGAUGGGGAUAGGCUCGCGUGACAUUAGCUAGACAGCGGGGUAACGGCCCACCGUGGCGACGAUGUCUAGGGGUUCUGAGAGGAAGGUCCCCCACACUGGAACUGAGACACGGUCCAGACUCCUACGGGAGGCAGCAGUGAGGAAUAUUGGUCAAUGGCCGGAAGGCUGAACCAGCCAUGCCGCGUGAAGGUCAGUGCCCUAUGGGCGUUAAACUUCUUUUGUGCGGGAGCAAUAAUGGUCACGUGUGGCCAGACGAGAGUACCGUACGAAUAAGCAUCGGCUAACUCCGUGCCAGCAGCCGCGGUAAUACGGGGGAUGCAAGCGUUAUCCGGAUUUAUUGGGUUUAAAGGGUGCGUAGGCUGUGAGGUAAGUCAGCGGUGAAAUGCCCCCGCUCAACGGGGUGAAGUGCCAUUGAUACUGCCUUGCUGGAAUGCGGAUGCCGUGGGAGGAAUGUGUGGUGUAGCGGUGAAAUGCAUAGAUAUCACACAGAACACCGAUUGCGAAGGCAUCUCACGAAUCCGCGAUUGACGCUGAUGCACGAAAGCGUGGGUAUCAAACAGGAUUAGAUACCCUGGUAGUCCACGCUGUAAACGA
This 646-nucleotide ribosomal RNA is filed under the name uncultured bacterium. RNAcentral's name for it is "bacterial SSU rRNA". It matches the Rfam family "Bacterial small subunit ribosomal RNA", at positions 165 to 809 of the family's 1533-position model. The record is from RNAcentral.